CGUAAUUUGGCAACCACGUGACAGAUGUUGUAUACACAAUUUGAAACAACGAUUCUGAAUAUACUGGUUCCGUCUUAGACGAUUUAUGUGCCGCUGUCUGUUAUAUUUCUAUAAUCAGAUCGCAAUUAAACAGAGAAUCUGUGAAUGAUUACAGUUACUGGGUACAAUUCACGGUAGGAGCAGAUCUUGCUCCAUGCAGGCCAGCUAAUAUGGCCUUUAUUUUACAUAUUCAAGGUUUUCAGGGUCAUGAACUACAGGAUUUUAGUACUUGGCCACUAUAUUUCCCAAACAACGUACAAGCCAUAUUCUACCUAGUCUCUGUCACGGAUAACAAUGUUGUUCAACACCAGCUAGUCGAUCUGCCAAAGUAUACGAAAGAUGUCUUCCUAGAAAUCAAGACUGCUCCAGAAUGUGGACCUGUUACAAUGCUAAUACUGGGACUUGAAAAGUUUGGAGAAGGAGUACAGACCUACUAUUCAGUGGUGGCUGAAGGAACGCUUGAUAUUGUUACAGAAGGUA
Mytilus californianus (California mussel) is the source of this 519-nucleotide long non-coding RNA. RefSeq lists it as uncharacterized. The record is from RefSeq and is a predicted model, not a curated record. Lineage: Eukaryota; Metazoa; Mollusca; Bivalvia; Mytilida; Mytilidae. The transcript is spliced from 3 exons.